CGUGUCGUGAGAUGUUGGGUUAAGUCCCGCAACGAGCGCAACCCUCGCCCUUAGUUGCCAGCAUUUAGUUGGGCACUCUAAGGGGACUGCCGGUGAUAAGCCGAGAGGAAGGUGGGGAUGACGUCAAGUCCUCAUGGCCCUUACGGGCUGGGCUACACACGUGCUACAAUGGUGGUGACAGUGGGCAGCGAGCACGCGAGUGUGAGCUAAUCUCCAAAAGCCAUCUCAGUUCGGAUUGCACUCUGCAACUCGAGUGCAUGAAGUUGGAAUCGCUAGUAAUCGCGGAUCAGCAUGCCGCGGUGAAUACGUUCCCGGGCCUU
RNAcentral lists this ribosomal RNA (320 nucleotides) under uncultured Ochrobactrum sp. Its description in RNAcentral is "bacterial SSU rRNA". It matches the Rfam family "Bacterial small subunit ribosomal RNA", at positions 1061 to 1382 of the family's 1533-position model. The record is from RNAcentral. Lineage: Bacteria; Pseudomonadati; Pseudomonadota; Alphaproteobacteria; Hyphomicrobiales; Brucellaceae.